Molecule: ribosomal RNA, 499 nt
Filed under: uncultured Gemella sp.
Lineage: Bacteria; Bacillati; Bacillota; Bacilli; Caryophanales; Gemellaceae
Description: bacterial SSU rRNA
Rfam family: Bacterial small subunit ribosomal RNA
Source: RNAcentral
GACGAACGCUGGCGGCGUGCCUAAUACAUGCAAGUCGAGCGAAGUUUUUCGGGUGCUUGCACUAGAAAAACUUAGCGGCGAACGGGUGUGUAACACGUAAAGAACCUGCCUCAUAGACUGGGACAACUAUUGGAAACGAUAGCUAAUACCGGAUAACAGCAUUAACUGCAUGGUUGAUGUUUGAAAGUUGGUUUUGCUAACACUAUGAGAUGGCUUUGCGGUGCAUUAGCUAGUUGGUGGGGUAAAGGCCUACCAAGGCGACGAUGCAUAGCCGACCUGAGAGGGUGAUCGGCCACACUGGGACUGAGACACGGCCCAGACUCCUACGGGAGGCAGCAGUAGGGAAUCUUCCGCAAUGGGCGAAAGCCUGACGGAGCAACGCCGCGUGAGUGAAGAAGGAUUUCGGUUCGUAAAGCUCUGUUGUUAGGGAAGAAUGAUUGUGUAGAACUAUACACAGUAGAGACGGUACCUAACCAGAAAGCCACGGCUAACUACGUGC